This 400-nucleotide unclassified non-coding RNA is filed under the name uncultured bacterium. Its description in RNAcentral is "contains 16S-23S intergenic spacer region". The record is from RNAcentral.
UCCCCGCUCACAAUCCACAAAAAAUAAAAAAUAUUUUUAUGAACUCUGAGCGGGGCAGUCUCGUGUGACAUAUUCAACACACGACGAGGGUUGCGUUCGUUACCCCACUUAAGGGAACAAUUCAAACCACGAACUGACGACGGCCAUGCAUCACCUGCCCAAUUGUCCUUGUGAGACAUCUCAAGUUUCCUCGAGACUUCAAUUGGGUUUCAAGCCCGGGUGAGGUUCUUCGUUUACCGACGAAUUGAACCACAUGAUCCACCGCUUGUGCGAGCUCCCGUCUAUUCCUUUGAGUUUUAGCCUUGCGGCCGUACUCCCCAGGCGGUUCUCUUAACGCGUUAGCUUGGCCUCUCAGAGGGUCGAUACUCCGAAAAGCGAGAGAACAUCGUUUAGGGCGUGG